UACGUAGGUGGCAAGCGUUGUCCGGAUUUACUGGGCGUAAAGGGCGUGCAGGCGGCUUGUUAAGUGCAGGGUGAAAGCUCCCGGCUCAACUGGGAGAGGUUCUUGCAUACUGGCGAGCUCGAGGGAGGCAGAGGAAAGUGGAAUUCCCGGUGUAGUGGUGAUAUGCGUAGAUAUCGGGAGGAACACCUGUGGCGAAGGCGGCUUCCUGGCCGAGUACUGACGCUGAGGCACGAAAGCGUGGGGAGCGAACGGG
Molecule: ribosomal RNA, 253 nt
Filed under: uncultured bacterium
Lineage: Bacteria
Description: partial 16S ribosomal RNA
Rfam family: Bacterial small subunit ribosomal RNA
Source: RNAcentral